AUGCAAGAUCUCCCGUCUGUAUCUCUGUGCUGCAGCUGCCACAAUAACCUUCAGAGAAGGAUUCUCCUACAUCUUACAACAGCAGCAUGACAUAUGGAGCUGAAACCCGCAGGAAGCAUGCCUCAUCAUCCAUGGCCAUGGGCUCAGUUAAAGACUCAACCUCUCACAUUUAAGGCAGUGGCUUUUUGGCCUCACCUGCUGCCCACGGUUUGCUCCCAGGUCCACGUGUGCUGCUGGGGAGCCUCAGCCACAGAAGCAGCUCCAUAG
RNAcentral lists this long non-coding RNA (267 nucleotides) under Cyanistes caeruleus (blue tit). RNAcentral describes it as "lncRNA (ENSCCEG00000018546.1)". The record is from RNAcentral. Lineage: Eukaryota; Metazoa; Chordata; Aves; Passeriformes; Paridae.